GGGUGUAUAGUUUUAAUUAGAAUGACACUUUUGUAAAGUGUUGGAAUUGGUGUGUUUGAUUGCUCCCU
RNAcentral lists this transfer RNA (68 nucleotides) under Lyperosomum longicauda. RNAcentral describes it as "tRNA-Thr". The record is from RNAcentral. Lineage: Eukaryota; Metazoa; Platyhelminthes; Trematoda; Plagiorchiida; Dicrocoeliidae.